AUUGAACGCUGGCGGCAUGCCUUACACAUGCAAGUCGAACGGUAACGGGUCCUUCGGGAUGCCGACGAGUGGCGAACGGGUGAGUAAUAUAUCGGAACGUGCCCAGUAGUGGGGGAUAACUGCUCGAAAGAGCAGCUAAUACCGCAUACGACCUGAGGGUGAAAGGGGGGGAUCGCAAGACCUCUCGCUAUUGGAGCGGCCGAUAUCAGAUUAGCUAGUUGGUGGGGUAAAGGCCUACCAAGGCGACGAUCUGUAGUUGGUCUGAGAGGACGACCAGCCACACUGGGGCUGAGACACGGCCCAGACUCCUACGGGAGGCAGCAGUGGGGAAUUUUGGACAAUGGGCGCAAGCCUGAUCCAGCAAUGCCGCGUGCAGGAAGAAGGCCUUCAGGUUGUAAACUGCUUUUGUCAGGGAAGAAAUCUUCUGGGCUAAUACCCCGGGAGGAUGACGGUACCUGAAGAAUAAGCACCGGCUAACUACGUGCCAGCAGCCGCGGUAAUACGUAGGGUGCGAGCGUUAAUCGGAAUUACUGGGCGUAAAGCGUGCGCAGGCGGCUUUGCAAGACAGAUGUGAAAUCCCCGGGCUCAACCUGGGAACUGCAUUUGUGACUGCAAGGCUAGAGUACGGCAGAGGGGGAUGGAAUUCCGCGUGUAGCAGUGAAAUGCGUAGAUGUGCGGAGGAACACCAAUGGCGAAGGCAAUCCCCUGGGCCUGUACUGACGCUCAUGCACGAAAGCGUGGGGAGCAAACAGGAUUAGAUACCCUGGUAGUCCACGCCCUAAACGAUGUCAACUGGUUGUUGGACGGCUUGCUGUUCAGUAACGAAGCUAACGCGUGAAGUUGACCGCCUGGGGAGUACGGCCGCAAGGUUGAAACUCGAAGGAAUUGACGGGGACCCGCACAAGCGGUGGAUGAUGUGGUUUAAUUCGAUGCAACGCGAAAAACCUUACCUACCCUUGACAUGUCAAGAAUUCUGCAGAGAUGUGGAAGUGCUCGAAAGAGAACUUGAACACAGGUGCUGCAUGGCCGUCGUCAGCUCGUGUCGUGAGAUGUUGGGUUAAGUCCCGCAACGAGCGCAACCCUUGUCAUUAGUUGCUACGCAAGAGCACUCUAAUGAGACUGCCGGUGACAAACCGGAGGAAGGUGGGGAUGACGUCAGGUCCUCAUGGCCCUUAUGGGUAGGGCUACACACGUCAUACAAUGGCCGGUACAGAGGGCUGCCAACCCGCGAGGGGGAGCCAAUCCCAGAAAACCGGUCGUAGUCCGGAUCGUAGUCUGCAACUCGACUGCGUGAAGUCGGAAUCGCUAGUAAUCGCGGAUCAGCUUGCCGCGGUGAAUACGUUCCCGGGUCU
RNAcentral lists this ribosomal RNA (1352 nucleotides) under uncultured bacterium. RNAcentral's name for it is "bacterial SSU rRNA". It matches the Rfam family "Bacterial small subunit ribosomal RNA", at positions 28 to 1381 of the family's 1533-position model. The record is from RNAcentral.